CUUGUCGAGCACCUAUGACGUGCUCGGCCCUGGGGAUACAGCAGGGAAACGGAGAGAAUGUCUUUUCUGGGGAAGAAGGGGGAUAGAGAAGGAAAGCAGAAGACCAUGUGAGAUGAAGGAAACCAAAGGGGUGACGAGGUGUCUACUUCCUGCCUGCCAGACAGGAAACUGCUGAGGUGAGGAGUCUGGGGGCACCCCAUCCCUACCCCGGAGGAGUUCCGUCAGGUGGAAAAGAUCAUCAAAGACCAGAGGGCGGAGAGCCCGCCACACGUUGGGAGACGCAUCUGCCAGGUGUUGGGGGGGGGCACCCCAAUGCCAUGCCCGGCUAUGGUAGAUGGAGAAGAAGGACUCCAGGCUCUGCUCUUCCCCAGGACAUGCCACACAGGAGACACGACCAUGCCUCUGGGUAGCCCCUAGGCUGUGAACCCCCAGACUCACCCGGGGUGCAGGCCUGCUGCCAAGGUGCCUGCUCCAGGAAGUCUCCUCACCUCCGUUCAGCUGGGCGCCCCCUGCAUCUCCCGACUCCUGCAGUGCCCAUGUGUCCUCCCC
Long non-coding RNA from Equus caballus (horse), 549 nucleotides. Lineage: Eukaryota; Metazoa; Chordata; Mammalia; Perissodactyla; Equidae. The record is from Ensembl.